GACGAAGGGGGCAAGCGUUGUUCGGAAUUACUGGGCGUAAAGGGCGCGUAGGCGGUCUUUUAAGUCAGGCGUGAAAGCCCUGGGCUCAACCUGGGAGUGGCGCUUGAUACUGGAGGACUAGAGAGUGGGAGAGGUUGGUGGAAUUCCCAGUGUAGAGGUGAAAUUCGUAGAUAUUGGGAAGAACACCGGUGGCGAAGGCGGCCAACUGGACCAUUUCUGACGCUGAGGCGCGAAAGCGUGGGGAGCAAACAGG
This 253-nucleotide ribosomal RNA is filed under the name uncultured bacterium. RNAcentral describes it as "partial 16S ribosomal RNA". It matches the Rfam family "Bacterial small subunit ribosomal RNA", at positions 524 to 776 of the family's 1533-position model. The record is from RNAcentral.